Pyrus x bretschneideri (Chinese white pear) is the source of this 765-nucleotide long non-coding RNA. RefSeq lists it as uncharacterized. The record is from RefSeq and is a predicted model, not a curated record. The transcript has 2 exons. NCBI's taxonomy places the organism in Eukaryota, Viridiplantae, Streptophyta, Magnoliopsida, Rosales, Rosaceae.
UGAAAUUGUCCACAUCAGCAUUUUACUGUUAAUAUAUUUCCAUGUCAUCUUUCUUUUUAUUUUACUAAAAUAGUUAAUUAUUGUAUUUUUUUUAGAGAAUUGUUAUUGGCAUUCCAAAAUUCUCAUUUUACACUCCAAACUUUCUAUAUUUAGAAAGAAAAAUGCACUUAUAAGGCGUGUAGAAUGAGAUUUUUGGAAUAGUAAUAACACUUCCCUUUUUUAUCCUCGCUGUGUUUUUAUUUCACGAUUCUUACGCCUCCAACGCCUCAUUUGCUUGCCGAACUGAAUUCACGGAUCCGUUCCACCAAAUAGUCACUCUAUUUUCUUCAGUUUUUUAUUUUCGUAACUGCAAAUUCCACUAUAAUCUCACACCCAUUUUCAAAUUCAUCAUUAUUAUCUUUAAUAUGAAUCCUCAAAUUCAAUUUUCGGCAAGAUUUGAGUCAAAAUCAUAUUUUUUCCCCAAGCAUUCGAAGGAGCGCAAUUUUUUGCAGGGGGGCUUGUAGACCCUCACGAGCUAAAAUUCGAGGUACAGGAAACUGUGAGGUAUCGUUCAAGCCUUCUUCAUUUUGCUAAGUUGUACCUAAAAAUAGAAGGAUUUAUUCAAGACGGGACAUGACGAAGAGAUGAAAAAAAACACCAUUUUGGAACUUGUUUAAGGCUUAUCAUGAUGGUCAUGUUACAUUUGAGUUUUGCAAAAAAAUUGACACAGAUAUUGCUAAAAUAGUAAAGCAGUACAAUAAAGAUAUGAAGUUCUUUGUGUUUGGG